AAGGAUUUAAGUUAAGCAAACUAGUAGCCUUCAAAGCUGCAAAUAAACCAAAAUUUAAGCCUUA
Molecule: transfer RNA, 64 nt
Filed under: Bostrichoidea sp. KM-2015
Lineage: Eukaryota; Metazoa; Arthropoda; Insecta; Coleoptera
Also listed under: 1 other name
Description: tRNA-Trp
Source: RNAcentral